RNAcentral lists this ribosomal RNA (330 nucleotides) under uncultured bacterium. Its description in RNAcentral is "bacterial SSU rRNA". It matches the Rfam family "Bacterial small subunit ribosomal RNA", at positions 568 to 898 of the family's 1533-position model. The record is from RNAcentral.
UGCGUAGGCGGUCCCGCAAGUCCGUUGUGAAAGCCCCGGGCUUAACCUGGGAAUGGCAGUGGAAACUAGGGGACUUGAAUCUGGCAGAAGGGGGUGGAAUGCCACGUGUAGCAGUGAAAUGCGUAGAGAUGUGGCGGAACACCGAUGGCGAAGGCAGCCCCCUGGGCUGAGAUUGACGCUCAGGCACGAAAGCGUGGGGAGCAAACAGGAUUAGAUACCCUGGUAGUCCACGCCCUAAACGAUGAUCACUAGGUGUUGGGGAAGCGAUUUCUCAGUACCGCAGCUAACGCGUGAAGUGAUCCGCCUGGGGAGUACGGUCGCAAGAUUAAA